UAUUUUGGCGAAUGGUACGAACCGCUUAUUAUUUCAACUGCGGUGCUUGUGUUGAUUUUUGCGAGUUAUUUGCGAAUAAUUGGAUUUCCACCUUGGUCCAUAAUCAUGUACUUGUUAUUUUUAGCGUGGAUUAUUGAUUUUCCCUAUAGAUGGAUAAAUCAUUUGAAGGUGGCCGAAUUGAGUUCCCUAAAGUACCAAGAAGAUAGUUCUCAAUGCGAUCAUAACCGAUUUUCCUGGGUGCAGUAUUUGUGGUUUUCAGUUAACAGCGAAGACGAUUGUCGGAAACAUCAUCAAAUCAAAGGUGUUUUCUGGACUAUUACGCCAUUGCAAAUCAUUUCGGAGCAAAUGCAAUUUUUGGUUUUAAUUCCAAUAAAUAAAAUUAACGAAGCUAUAAGAGAUUUGGGACAG
Photinus pyralis (common eastern firefly) is the source of this 408-nucleotide long non-coding RNA. RefSeq lists it as uncharacterized. NCBI's taxonomy places the organism in Eukaryota, Metazoa, Arthropoda, Insecta, Coleoptera, Lampyridae. The transcript has 3 exons. The record is from RefSeq and is a predicted model, not a curated record.